This 378-nucleotide unclassified non-coding RNA is filed under the name plant metagenome. Its description in RNAcentral is "partial contains 5.8S ribosomal RNA, internal transcribed spacer 2, and large subunit ribosomal RNA". The stretch from base 1 to 105 matches the Rfam family "5.8S ribosomal RNA", at positions 50 to 154 of the family's 154-position model. The record is from RNAcentral.
GAAAUGCGAUAAGUAAUGUGAAUUGCAGAAUUCAGUGAAUCAUCGAAUCUUUGAACGCACCUUGCGCUCCUUGGUAUUCCUCGGAGCAUGCCUGUUUGAGUAUCAUGAAAUCUUCAAAGUAAAUCUUUUGUUAACUCAAUUGGUUUCUACUUUGGUAUUGGAGGUCUUUGCAGCUUCACACCUGCUCCUCUUUGUUCAUUAACUGGAUCUCAGUGUUAUGCUUGGUUCCACUCGGCGUGAUAAGUUAUCUAUCGCUGAGGACACUGUAAAAGGUGGCCAAGUUAAAUGCAGAUGAACCGCUUCUAAUAGUCCAUUGACUUGGACAAUACUUUUAUGAUCUGAUCUCAAAUCAGGUAGGACUACCCGCUGAACUUAAGC